AAAUAGAUUAAGCCGGAUGCAUGCUCU
Molecule: non-coding RNA, 27 nt
Filed under: Cricetulus griseus (Chinese hamster)
Lineage: Eukaryota; Metazoa; Chordata; Mammalia; Rodentia; Cricetidae
Source: RNAcentral